This is a long non-coding RNA of Vombatus ursinus (common wombat), 412 nucleotides long. RefSeq lists it as uncharacterized. The record is from RefSeq and is a predicted model, not a curated record. Lineage: Eukaryota; Metazoa; Chordata; Mammalia; Diprotodontia; Vombatidae. The transcript is spliced from 3 exons.
GAGAAUUAGAGAUCGAUGGACCAAGUUUUGACCUGGUUAAUUCCAGAAGGCUGGAAAAGCCGCCAGAGAUCCAGUGAUUGGAAUCCAUGGCGGAGUCUGCUGGUCACUGACGAAGCCCAGGACAUCAAGGAACCAAUCCUGAGGAGUAACCUCCUUGACCCCGCCCAGUAGUGAAUCAAACCGGCAGCUGAGAUAUAGUAUCCUGCAAGAAAGGCCAGCUGGCCAAUGGAUAGCCCUCUUAAGUUGGGUGCCAUCAUACCAUCUUGGUGAUUGGAGAAAUGGCCUCAGGCGAGAAGAAAAACAGCAGGAGGACCUUUGGUAAUGAGUUAUCAAAGGCCAGUGGCUGGCAAUGGCCCAUGAUGCCGUGGGUGACCUUGGUGUCUUUGAUGUCUGACCAAACUCUAAGUGCUCC